Sphaeramia orbicularis (orbiculate cardinalfish) is the source of this 885-nucleotide non-coding RNA. NCBI's taxonomy places the organism in Eukaryota, Metazoa, Chordata, Actinopteri, Kurtiformes, Apogonidae. The record is from the annotation of a RefSeq genome assembly.
UGUACAUUUAACUAUAUGCAGAUGAUGUUCAGCUCUUAAAAAUAGAACUACUUCCUUCUGUAAAAAUGGGAUAAAUGUGGAGUUUGGAGAAGAGAUUCAACACUAACCAACCUAAAGGUUCAGAUUUAAGCACCAAACAUGUUCACUGUGACACUGGCUUUGGAAGUGAAGCUUACUUUGGAAAAGGAACAAAAUUAACCGUUUUAGAACCGGGUCGUAAACCUGUCCAACCGAAAGUCCAGAUCCUUAAUCCUUCGCCGAACGAAUGUCGAAACCAGAAGGAUGUGAGAAAAAGGAAGAAGACGCUGGUGUGCGUGGCGUCUGGCUUCUACCCCGACCACGUUAGCGUGCACUGGCAGCAUAAUGGGAACAACGUCACCAACAGCACCGGCGUGGCGACCGACGCCAACGCCCAGAUGAUGGAGGACAAGUUCUACACCCUGACCAGUCGACUGAGGGUCAAGUACGAGGACUGGGACGACGAGCACACCUUCACAUGCAUCGUCACGUUCUUCGACGGGGAAGACUACGUGGACAUUCCAGCAGAGAUUAAGGGUGUUAAAAAUAUUUCCACUGACGGAGACACAAUGACACGAGAGAAAUAUCUGAGUACGACGAACGCUGCCCGACUCUCGUACGGCGUUCUCAUCGUGAAGGGCUUCGUCUACGGACUCUUCGUCAUGCUCGUGGUUUGGAAACUGCAGGGUUCAGGAGGAAAAGGCUCCUGAAGAACCAGACUGAGGGAAAACUGACCCAAAUACUCCAUGUUUAGUUUACACAUUUUGAUUUGACAUUUAUUUUCCACAUUUUUCUACAUUUAUUUUCCAUACUUAUUGUUUUACAUUUAUUUUCUACAUUUAUCUUCCUAUUUUUUUUUUUUUUUUU